GAUGAACGCUGGCGGCGUGCCUAACACAUGCAAGUCGAACGGAGUAUAUGCGCUGAUGAUCGAAGUGCUUGCAUAGAGAGAAUCUUGCAUAUACUUAGUGGCGGACGGGUGAGUAACGUGUGGAUAACCUGGUCCAUCCAGGGGGAUAGCAGCUGGAAACGGCUGGUAAUACCGCAUAAGCGCACAGCAGGGCAUCCUGCGGUGUGAAAAGAUUUAUCGGGAUGGAAUGGAUCCGCAUCUGAUUAGCCAGUCGGCGGGGUAACGGCCCACCGAAGCGACGAUCAGUAGCCGGCCUGAGAGGGCGGACGGCCACAUUGGGACUGAGACACGGCCCAGACUCCUACGGGAGGCAGCAGUGGGGGAUAUUGCACAAUGGGGGGAACCCUGAUGCAGCGACGCCGCGUGGGUGAAGAAGUAUUUCGGUAUGUAAAGCCCUAUCAGCAGGGAAGAUAAUGACGUAC
This 461-nucleotide ribosomal RNA is filed under the name bacterium ND2015. RNAcentral's name for it is "bacterial SSU rRNA". It matches the Rfam family "Bacterial small subunit ribosomal RNA", at positions 28 to 459 of the family's 1533-position model. The record is from RNAcentral.